GCCGUGGUAGCUCAGCAGGGAGAGCGCCAGACUGAAGAUCUGGAGGCCGCCGGUUCAAUCCCGGCCCACGGCA
Molecule: transfer RNA, 73 nt
Filed under: Thermoplasmata archaeon
Lineage: Archaea; Methanobacteriati; Thermoplasmatota; Thermoplasmata
Description: tRNA-Phe
Rfam family: tRNA
About the family: Transfer RNA (tRNA) molecules are approximately 80 nucleotides in length. Their secondary structure includes four short double-helical elements and three loops (D, anti-codon, and T loops). Further hydrogen bonds mediate the characteristic L-shaped molecular structure. tRNAs have two regions of fundamental functional importance: the anti-codon, which is responsible for specific mRNA codon recognition, and the 3' end, to which the tRNAs corresponding amino acid is attached (by aminoacyl-tRNA synthetases). tRNAs cope with the degeneracy of the genetic code in two manners: having more than one tRNA (with a specific anti-codon) for a particular amino acid; and 'wobble' base-pairing, i.e. permitting non-standard base-pairing at the 3rd anti-codon position.
Source: RNAcentral